Molecule: ribosomal RNA, 149 nt
Filed under: Rhabditophanes sp. VP-2015
Lineage: Eukaryota; Metazoa; Nematoda; Chromadorea; Rhabditida; Alloionematidae
Description: 5.8S ribosomal RNA
Rfam family: 5.8S ribosomal RNA
About the family: 5.8S ribosomal RNA (5.8S rRNA) is a component of the large subunit of the eukaryotic ribosome. It is transcribed by RNA polymerase I as part of the 45S precursor that also contains 18S and 28S rRNA. Functionally, it is thought that 5.8S rRNA may be involved in ribosome translocation.
Source: RNAcentral
AAAAUCGUGUCGGUGGAUCACUCGGUUCAUGGGUCGAUGAAGAGCGCAGCUAGCUGCGAAAAGUGGGGCGAAUUGCUAAGCAGAGCCUUAAAUUCUUGAAUGCAAAUGGCGCUAACAGUUAAUACUGUUGGCAUGUGCAGUUGAGGGUG